GACGUGUCCAAAUUCACACCCGGCCAACGUUGACGGGGAAGGCUGCUGAAAGGACGCAGUCAUCGAAUUUGGACAGUCUACUAUGGGAUUUUGGCUCCUUGGAGCCUGCAGAAUCUAGGGCGGCUCUGGAGCAUUUCAGCGUUUUGAGCGGCGCGGGCGCCGCGUUUUAACGCCGCUCGGUUCAGCAGCUUCUCCUCCAAUAGCUGUGGCUGUGACAGGUCACACCUGUGGUGUGGUCCAGCGGAGGUAAGGAUCAUAGAAACAGAUAAGUGUUAUCAAAGUGAAAUAUCGCGCCGGGAACACCUGCAGCCCCCCGUCUCAGGAGACUCACUCUUUCUUGGACUUGCCCUCUUCUCCCUCCUCUGCGGGGGCCCCUCCGUCCACCUUCUCGCCGUUCUCCGUGGGCUCUUCAUCGGCGGCUUUCUGGUCCUCCUCAG
Molecule: long non-coding RNA, 437 nt
Organism: Oryzias latipes (Japanese medaka)
Lineage: Eukaryota; Metazoa; Chordata; Actinopteri; Beloniformes; Adrianichthyidae
Source: RefSeq, a predicted model, not a curated record